This 486-nucleotide ribosomal RNA is filed under the name uncultured bacterium. RNAcentral's name for it is "bacterial SSU rRNA". It matches the Rfam family "Bacterial small subunit ribosomal RNA", at positions 33 to 507 of the family's 1533-position model. The record is from RNAcentral.
GACGACGCUGGCGGCGUGGAUUAGGCAUGCAAGUCGAACGGUAUCAUCCUUUCGGGGAUGAGAGAGUGGCGAACGGGUGAGUAACACGUAGGUGAUCUACCCUCAAGACGGGACAACCCAGGGAAACUUGGGCUAAUACCGGAUGUGAGCAACCUUAGGGUUGUUUGAAAGGUGGCUUCGGCUGCCGCUUGGGGAUGAGCCUGCGUCCUAUUAGCUAGUUGGUGAGGUAACGGCUCACCAAGGCAGUGAUAGGUAGGCGGCCUUAACGGGUGGUCGCCCACACUGGGAUUGAGAUACGGCCCAGACUCCUACGGGAGGCAGCAGUCGAGAAUAGUCUACAAUGGUCGAAAGACUGAUAGUGCGACGCCGCGUGAACGAAGAAGCCCUUCGGGGUGUAAAGUUCUUUUAUAUGUGAGCAGUGGGUUCCAUAUGAAUAGUAUGGGAUCAGAGAUAUUAGCAUAUGAAUAAGCAACGGCUAACUCCGUG